ACCGGCGCACGGGUGCGUAACGCGUAUGCAAUCUACCUUGUACAGGGGAAUAGCUUUCGGAAACGAGAAUUAAUACCCCAUAGUAGGAAGAUAACGCCUGUUAUCUUUCUUAAAGCUUCGGUGGUACAAGCGGAGCAUGCGUCCCAUUAGCUAGUAGGUGAGGUAACGGCUCACCUAGGCGAUGAUGGGUAGGGGUUCUGAGAGGAAGAUCCCCCACACUGGCACUGAGACACGGGCCAGACUCCUACGGGAGGCAGCAGUAGGGAAUAUUGGUCAAUGGGCGCAAGCCUGAACCAGCCAUGCCGCGUGCAGGAAGAAGGCCCGUAAGGUUGUAAACUGCUUUUAUAGGAGAACAAACCCCUCCGGCGGGAGGGUCUGAGGGUAUCCUAAGAAUAAGCACCGGCUAACUCCGUGCCAGCAGCCGCGGUAAUACGGAGGGUGCAAGCGU
This 448-nucleotide ribosomal RNA is filed under the name uncultured bacterium. RNAcentral describes it as "bacterial SSU rRNA". It matches the Rfam family "Bacterial small subunit ribosomal RNA", at positions 94 to 541 of the family's 1533-position model. The record is from RNAcentral.